UCCGUAGCCAUUUUGGCUCAGU
This 22-nucleotide small RNA is filed under the name Karlodinium veneficum. RNAcentral's name for it is "trans-spliced leader sequence SL-like". Lineage: Eukaryota; Dinophyceae; Gymnodiniales; Kareniaceae. The record is from RNAcentral.